Molecule: long non-coding RNA, 383 nt
Organism: Asparagus officinalis (garden asparagus)
Lineage: Eukaryota; Viridiplantae; Streptophyta; Magnoliopsida; Asparagales; Asparagaceae
Exons: 4
Source: RefSeq, a predicted model, not a curated record
GCGUAUGCUUUCAACUGUCAUGACUUACUCAGAAAAGGUGUUUAUGGACAAAUUUGUUGCCACCCUAUAAACACGAGGUUCCGGAGCUUCAGGACAUUUAUAGGGAUGGGUGGAGAAAGUGAGCUGCCUGAGAGUUCUUUGCUUCGCUACAUAAUCUAGGAAAAUAUAAAAAGACCUUAGGUUCAUAAGACAUCUCAAUUGGUUGAUCACAUAAUAGAAGCCAAUCAAACAAAUAGAAUGAACGCAUAUAUUGAAGCUGGAUCUAGACACCGGUAUGAUGACAUAAAAAAUAUAAGCAUGUUAUAUUCAUGCACAAAAUGGCUUCAAGAGCAUCUAACAGAAGGCUAUCCAUGCAAGAUAAGGAGGGGUAGCUCGAGUCUUCU